GCGGGGGUGGCAGAGCCUGGUCAAAUGCGCUAGCUUGAGGGGCUAGUCCCUUAGUGGGUGCGCGCGUUCGAAUCGCGUCCCCCGCA
RNAcentral lists this transfer RNA (86 nucleotides) under Candidatus Woesearchaeota archaeon. Its description in RNAcentral is "tRNA-Leu". It matches the Rfam family "tRNA". From Rfam's summary of the family: Transfer RNA (tRNA) molecules are approximately 80 nucleotides in length. Their secondary structure includes four short double-helical elements and three loops (D, anti-codon, and T loops). Further hydrogen bonds mediate the characteristic L-shaped molecular structure. tRNAs have two regions of fundamental functional importance: the anti-codon, which is responsible for specific mRNA codon recognition, and the 3' end, to which the tRNAs corresponding amino acid is attached (by aminoacyl-tRNA synthetases). tRNAs cope with the degeneracy of the genetic code in two manners: having more than one tRNA (with a specific anti-codon) for a particular amino acid; and 'wobble' base-pairing, i.e. permitting non-standard base-pairing at the 3rd anti-codon position. Lineage: Archaea; Nanobdellati; Candidatus Woesearchaeota. The record is from RNAcentral.